RNAcentral lists this ribosomal RNA (631 nucleotides) under uncultured marine bacterium. RNAcentral describes it as "bacterial SSU rRNA". It matches the Rfam family "Bacterial small subunit ribosomal RNA", at positions 8 to 622 of the family's 1533-position model. The record is from RNAcentral.
AGAGUUUGAUCCUGGCUCAGGACGAACGCUGGCGGCGUGCCUAAUACAUGCAAGUCGAGCGAAUCGACGGGAGCUUGCUCCCUGAGAUUAGCGGCGGACGGGUGAGUAACACGUGGGCAACUUGCCUAUAAGACUGGGAUAACUUCGGGAAACCGGAGCUAAUACCGGAUACGUUCUUUUCUCGCAUGAGAGACGAUGGAAAGACGAUUUACGCUGUCACUUAUAGAUGGGCCAGCGGCGCAUUAGCUAGUUGGUGAGGUAAUGGCUCACCAAGGCGACGAUGCGUAGCCGACCUGAGAGGGUGAUCGGCCACACUGGGACUGAGACACGGCCCAGACUCCUACGGGAGGCAGCAGUAGGGAAUCUUCCGCAAUGGACGAAAGUCUGACGGAGCAACGCCGCGUGAACGAAGAAGGCCAUCGGGUCGUAAAGUUCUGUUGUUAGGGAAGAACAAGUACCAGAGUAACUGCUGGUACCUUGACGGUACCUAACCAGAAAGCCACGGCUAACUACGUGCCAGCAGCCGCGGUAAUACGUAGGUGGCAAGCGUUGUCCGGAAUUAUUGGGCGUAAAGCGCGCGCAGGUGGUUCCUUAAGUCUGAUGUGAAAGCCCACGGCUCAACCGUGGAGGG